This 251-nucleotide ribosomal RNA is filed under the name uncultured bacterium. RNAcentral describes it as "partial 16S ribosomal RNA". It matches the Rfam family "Bacterial small subunit ribosomal RNA", at positions 525 to 775 of the family's 1533-position model. The record is from RNAcentral. RNAcentral also lists the same sequence under 1 other name.
ACGGAGGAUGCGAGCGUUAUCCGGAUUUAUUGGGUUUAAAGGGAGCGUAGACGGGUUUUUAAGUCAGCUGUGAAAGUUUGGGGCUCAACCUUAAAAUUGCAGUUGAAACUGGAGACCUUGAGUACGGUUGAGGCAGGCGGAAUUCGUGGUGUAGCGGUGAAAUGCUUAGAUAUCACGAAGAACCCCGAUUGCGAAGGCAGCCUGCUAAGCCGCCACUGACGUUGAGGCUCGAAAGUGCGGGUAUCAAACAG